RNAcentral lists this ribosomal RNA (406 nucleotides) under Scaphocalanus echinatus. RNAcentral's name for it is "eukaryotic LSU rRNA". It matches the Rfam family "Eukaryotic large subunit ribosomal RNA", at positions 331 to 666 of the family's 3401-position model. Lineage: Eukaryota; Metazoa; Arthropoda; Copepoda; Calanoida; Scolecitrichidae. The record is from RNAcentral.
AGACCGAUAGCAAACAAGUACCGUGAGGGAAGAUUGAAAAGAACUUUGAAGAGAGAGUUCAAUAGUACGUGAAACUGUGUGGUGGUAAACAGAGGGGUUCUCGAAGUUUCUGAGGGGAACUCAACCUUGGUGUUGGGCAGUCAGGGCGUAUCCGAUCAGCAAUGACUGUGCGCUCUGUCUGGCUCGGCUCUCGGGUGCACUUCCCCCUCAGUUUACGGCAGGAACUGUUUGGCACGGACCGAAGGCCGCGGGUGAAGUUGUCGCUUAUGGUGGCAGCCCUGUGUGUCCUGGCUCUGCGCCCGACAGGUAUGUGAGAGGACUCGUAUAGCGAGCAAUGCUCUGUUGCAGUUCUCAUCUCUCUGCCGAGUAGGUCGGUGGCCCCUCUGACCCGUCUUGAAACACGGAC